AUUGAACGCUGGCGGCAUGCCUUACACAUGCAAGUCGAACGGCAGCACGGGUGCUUGCACCUGGUGGCGAGUGGCGAACGGGUGAGUAAUACAUCGGAACAUGUCCUGUAGUGGGGGAUAGCCCGGCGAAAGCCGGAUUAAUACCGCAUACGAUCUACGUAUGAAAUCGGGGGACCUUCGUGCCUCGCGCUAUAGGGUUGGCCGAUGGCUGAUUAGCUAGUUGGUGGGGUAAAGUCCUACCAAGGCGACGAUCAGUAGCUGGUCUGAGAGGACGACCAGCCACACUGGGACUGAGACACGGCCCAGAAUCCUACGGGAGGCAGCAGUGGGGAAUUUUGGACAAUGGGCGAAAGCAUGAUACAGCAAUGCCGCGUGUGUGAAGAAGGCCUUCGGGUUGUAAAGCACUUUUGUCCGGAAAGAAAUCCUUGGCCCUAAUACGGUCGGGGGAUGACGGUACCGGAAGAAUAAGCACCGGCUAACUACGUG
RNAcentral lists this ribosomal RNA (486 nucleotides) under uncultured bacterium. Its description in RNAcentral is "partial 16S ribosomal RNA". It matches the Rfam family "Bacterial small subunit ribosomal RNA", at positions 30 to 507 of the family's 1533-position model. The record is from RNAcentral.